AGUGAACGCUGGCGGUAGGCCUAACACAUGCAAGUCGAACGGCAGCACAGUAAGAGCUUGCUCUUACGGGUGGCGAGUGGCGGACGGGUGAGGAAUACAUCGGAAUCUACUUUUUCGUGGGGGAUAACGUAGGGAAACUUACGCUAAUACCGCAUACGACCUACGGGUGAAAGCAGGGGAUCUUCGGACCUUGCGCGAUUGAAUGAGCCGAUGUCGGAUUAGCUAGUUGGCGGGGUAAAGGCCCACCAAGGCGACGAUCCGUAGCUGGUCUGAGAGGAUGAUCAGCCACACUGGAACUGAGACACGGUCCAGACUCCUACGGGAGGCAGCAGUGGGGAAUAUUGGACAAUGGGCGCAAGCCUGAUCCAGCCAUACCGCGUGGGUGAAGAAGGCCUUCGGGUUGUAAAGCCCUUUUGUUGGGAAAGAAAAGCAGCAGGUUAACAUCCCGCUGUUCUGACGGUACCCAAAGAAUAAGCACCGGCUAACUUCGUG
This 492-nucleotide ribosomal RNA is filed under the name uncultured bacterium. RNAcentral's name for it is "partial 16S ribosomal RNA". It matches the Rfam family "Bacterial small subunit ribosomal RNA", at positions 29 to 507 of the family's 1533-position model. The record is from RNAcentral.